RNAcentral lists this long non-coding RNA (202 nucleotides) under Homo sapiens (human). RNAcentral describes it as "HSALNT0185290". Lineage: Eukaryota; Metazoa; Chordata; Mammalia; Primates; Hominidae. The record is from RNAcentral.
ACUCAAGGAAACGUCAACCAAUGGCCAUUGGGUCUCUGCAAAUCCACAUUUUCACAGGGAGGAAGUCGGAAGUAAUUGGAGCGACGGAGUCUCCUAGGGGGCAGACCAGCCAUCUGACGGCAAAGCUCAUCUAGAAGAGAAGCAGAACAUCAUGGGAAGAGAAUGCAGAAGAUAACAAAGGCUCUUGUUUUAAGGGAUAGAG